GGAAUAACUGUUCCGCUACCCAAGACAGCAGGUACGUACGUUUAAUUGCGCUUGCGCAGCCCGCCGAGGUGGUUAAGAGAAGCUCACAUUCAUGGCUUUGUCGACCCCUGCUGUCAUUGGCGCAGGGGUCGUUUCUUUUCAGAAUU
Non-coding RNA from Eggerthella sp. CAG:298, 146 nucleotides. The record is from Rfam. NCBI's taxonomy places the organism in Bacteria, Bacillati, Actinomycetota, Coriobacteriia, Eggerthellales, Eggerthellaceae.